Molecule: ribosomal RNA, 372 nt
Filed under: uncultured bacterium
Lineage: Bacteria
Description: bacterial SSU rRNA
Rfam family: Bacterial small subunit ribosomal RNA
Source: RNAcentral
UACGGAGGUGGCGAAUGUUGCUCGGAAUUACUGGGCGUAAAGGGCGCGCAGGCGGAUGAUCAAGUCAAGAGUGAAAUCUCCAUGCUUAACGUGGAGCUUGCUUUUAAAACUGGUCGUCUGGAGUCAUGUAGGGGAUGACGGAACACCUGGAGUAGCGGUGAAAUGCGUAGAUAUCAGGUGGAACACCGAUGGCGAAGGCUGUCAUCUGGACAAGGACUGACGCUGAGGCGCGAAAGCCGGGGGAGCAAACAGGAUUAGAUACCCUGGUAGUCCCGGCCCUAAACGAUGAGUGCUAGGUGUAUGCGCGCGAGCGUAUGUGCCGCAGUUAACGCAUUAAGCACUCCGCCUGGGGAGUACGGUCGCAAGGCUGAA